AGACGGAGGGUGCGAGCGUUGUUCGGAAUUACUGGGCGUAAAGGGCGCGUAGGCGGCCUGGCCAGUCUGGUGUGAAAGCCCGGGGCUCAACCCCGGAAGUGCACCGGAAACUGCUGGGCUUGAGUCCGGGAGAGGAGGGCAGAAUUCCCGGUGUAGGGGUGAAAUCCGUAGAUAUCGGGAGGAACACCAGUGGCGAAGGCGGCUAACUGGGGCAAUACUGACGCUGAGGCACGAAAGCGUGGGGAGCAAACAGGAUUAGAUACCCUAGUAGUCC
This 274-nucleotide ribosomal RNA is filed under the name uncultured bacterium. Its description in RNAcentral is "partial 16S ribosomal RNA". It matches the Rfam family "Bacterial small subunit ribosomal RNA", at positions 523 to 796 of the family's 1533-position model. The record is from RNAcentral.